This 325-nucleotide ribosomal RNA is filed under the name Fusarium incarnatum. RNAcentral's name for it is "partial large subunit ribosomal RNA". It matches the Rfam family "Eukaryotic large subunit ribosomal RNA", at positions 331 to 675 of the family's 3401-position model. Lineage: Eukaryota; Fungi; Ascomycota; Sordariomycetes; Hypocreales; Nectriaceae. The record is from RNAcentral.
AGACCGAUAGCGAACAAGUAGAGUGAUCGAAAGAUGAAAAGCACUUUGAAAAGAGAGUUAAAAAGUACGUGAAAUUGUUGAAAGGGAAGCGUUUAUGACCAGACUUGGGCUUGGUUAAUCAUCUGGGGUUCUCCCCAGUGCACUUUUCCAGUCCAGGCCAGCAUCAGUUUUCGCCGGGGGAUAAAGGCUUCGGGAAUGUGGCUCUCUCCGGGGAGUGUUAUAGCCCGUUGCGUAAUACCCUGGCGGGGAGUGAGGUUCGCGCAUCUGCAAGGAUGCUGGCGUAAUGGUCAUCAACGACCCGUCUUGAAACACGGACCAAGGAGUC